Otolemur garnettii (small-eared galago) is the source of this 145-nucleotide RNA transcript. It is a transcript of the gene named thymosin beta-4 pseudogene, with no coding region annotated. Lineage: Eukaryota; Metazoa; Chordata; Mammalia; Primates; Galagidae. The transcript has a single exon. The record is from RefSeq and is a predicted model, not a curated record.
UGCGACCAUGUCUGACAAACCAGAUACGGCUGAGAUUGAGAAAUUUGAUAAGUCUAAAUUGAAGAAGAUGGAAACACAAGAGAAAAAUCCACUGCCUUCCAAAGAAAUGAUCCAACAGGAGAAGCAAGCAAGCGAGUCUUAUUAG